This 2668-nucleotide unclassified non-coding RNA is filed under the name Daphnia pulex (common water flea). RNAcentral's name for it is "rho GTPase-activating protein gacF-like, transcript variant X1". The record is from RNAcentral. Lineage: Eukaryota; Metazoa; Arthropoda; Branchiopoda; Diplostraca; Daphniidae.
CAAUUCUCUUUCAUUUCAUGUCGAAAUACGGUGCCGUUCCAGUAGCAUUUCGCAGCACCUCCAAUUCUAUUGUAAUUGUUAUUUAAAUUGCGAGUUAUACAAGUAAGUCAGAGAUCGUUUGGAAAUUUGUGUUGCAUCAAGUUGAACGGAAUUCCCCAACGAUGUCGAAAGAGGAGCGUGAAGCUGCCAUCAAUCAAAAGAUUGAGGAAAUUCGUAGGAAAAACGCAACCAUAACGCAGCGAUAUCAAGAAAUAGAAAAUGAUAAAAAGAACGCGGAAAAUUUUAGUCUAGUAGCAACCCAACGCAUGAAAACGCGUUCCGUGACUGAAAAUGACGUUGACGACAACAGUCCCACCGUGAAACAGCCAGCAGCAGCGCGCCCUGAAAAAAGCGAAAUGAAUCGUGAGCCAAAAGAGCCGCGCAAAAUAAAAAAAAAGCAUUCCGUUUCCGAUUUGGCUGCGACUACUGACUUUCGUCCCCAACGAUUAACAGAGAACGAUUUGCCUCCACCGGAUCCGGUGUUUUCCUACCUAACCGACCGGUUGCGGGAGGGAGCCUUUUGCGCACCCAUCAGUCCGGCAGCCAAUCGCAGACACAGCACGUCAUCUCAAUCCAGUGAAAUGAGUAUCGGCAGUAGUAGCCGAAGCAAUAAUUCUAGGAGGACCUCGACGACUUCCAACUCAUCUUGGACGAGUGACACAUCUUCAAAGUAUGACGGCUUUUCCAAUUAUCAGCCGCCGAGGAGAUAUUCGGUGUGCCGUGAUUACGUUCGUAAUCGACGGUUGAGUGAGCAACUGAAUACUUCUGACGAAAAAGAAGAUGAACAGUGGAAUUACAAUAAGCAAGGCCAAUUCCAACAGAAUAAUAAAGAUUUUAAGAAAUCAUUUCAAAGCAACACUGCUGCUCGUGAUCGGGAAACUGGAAAAGUUACAUGGGUAUCAUCGGAUGGACCGGAAUCCCAGAUUAGCGAGAUUACUGGAGGAUCCACAUUGCAACCUUGGAAGAGAGAAAUAUCUGUGACAAAUUCCAGGUCCGAGUAUGUGACAAAUUGGCGUGAUCGACACAUCGGCUACACUACUACUGCAGAAACAGAUUUUACUUCCAUUGAUGAAGGUGUAGCGCAGCUUGCGGUGUCUGUUGAAGACCCAAAUAACAACAAUGACAUGAUCAACCAUAACAUGCCGAUUGUUUGAAACAAAAAUGGAAUCAAAUCACUCGCUGAUAAACACAGUUUUUUUUAUAAAGUUUGAACAGACCAGUUCUUCCUGUUAAAUUAUUUGUUUUGUAUUUAUUUACUUCUAACAGCUUAGCCGUAGCUAUUCUGCUGAACGGAGGUUAAUAUUCGGGUCCUUUUUUAGGUAUAUUGGGUUGCCAAUAGAAAGGUGUGUAGAGGAAGGUAAGCGGGAUGGUGGCCGUCGCCCAAUGAGAUCAAAAGUGAUUGAUUUUGAUUUUACGGAAAUCUUAUCGCUAACGCCAUCAUUUUCUCCAAGCUAUCUAGCGUUCAUAGGAACAAACUCUUCAGCUUUUACUGUUUGGCUGCGAAAAAAAAAACAUUUUCGGCAAAAAUAAUGGACUAAAAGGGGUGUUAAAGUUUGUUACAUUGACCCAAGCUUCCAAUAUUUUUUUAAAAUUUAUUAUUUAGUAACUAUCGAUUCUGCGAUGGAUUUACAAUAUUUAAAUUUAUGGGCGCAGCCAAAAUGGGUGAAGUAGGUGACGCACGGUAAAUUUAAUGUCAUUGGCUUAAAUCUAAAUAAUAAAAAAAAAUAUUGGUUAUAAAGUGACUGGAUUUUUUCUAUGACGUGUUAAAUUUCAUUAUUUAUUUUAUUUAUAAUAAUUUCGGUAAACACACAAAAUACCCUUCUUUUCAUUCCACAUCGUAAUAGUAAACUUUUCUAAACAUACGUACAAAUAACAACUAAAAAAAUUAACGCAAACGAUAUCCAAUCGUAUUGAUAAAUUCACCACUAGAUCGAUUAUAAUUUAACCGCUACCGAAAAAAACAAAUUGCCCUGCUCCCGGAAUCCGCUGGACGGAUCGUUUUUUCCGCCAUUCUCUUUCAGUCUUUCCUACAUCAUCGUUAUGUUGCAAUGAACGUACGUUGAUACUGACGUACCAGAAUCAACAUGAUCAGAUAUGAAGUUUAAGGCUUAUCUUGGUAAAAACCCUCUUGGUAAACCAAAAGGAAAUAAUGUAAAUUGUGGUAAGUAAAUCCGUUUUGUUUCGCGCAAUUUUUCAGAGUAUUUUUUCUUCGAUAUAGAGAGACUGAUACUGCCAAAAACUGGUGGUAACAUUUUGGAUGUAUUAACAUUUUUUGCGCGAUAAAGAAGUAUAUCAAAAGUAUUAUUACAAUAAUAUUAAUACCACUCUUUUUCUUAUUCAAAUAAUUGUGAGAAACUGUUCCGUGCAUACGUAUCAGUUGCAUGACAUACAAUGACGCAAUCAAUUAACCACUGCGUACUACAUGUUGUGUGGGCUACAAUAAUUUAUCAAUUAAAACGUUGUAAUUUAACUUAAAUUAAGACAUAACCCUCUCCAGAUUUUUUAAAAAUACUUGCGAAUAAUAACACCCGCUGAGUAGGCAAUAUUUGAAUUUUUGGCGGUGAAACUUGAUAUGUUGAUUUGUUUCAAUUUUCCGAAGAUAUUAUUUAUUGAGGAUGGUAGAAGAACU